This 233-nucleotide ribosomal RNA is filed under the name uncultured bacterium. RNAcentral's name for it is "partial 16S ribosomal RNA". It matches the Rfam family "Bacterial small subunit ribosomal RNA", at positions 524 to 755 of the family's 1533-position model. The record is from RNAcentral.
UACGUAGGGUCCGAGCGUUGUCCGGAAUUACUGGGCGUAAAGAGCUCGUAGGUGGUUUGUCGCGUUGUUCGUGAAAACUCACAGCUCAACUGUGGGCGUGCGGGCGAUACGGGCAGACUAGAGUACUGCAGGGGAGACUGGAAUUCCUGGUGUAGCGGUGGAAUGCGCAGAUAUCAGGAGGAACACCGGUGGCGAAGGCGGGUCUCUGGGCAGUAACUGACGCUGGAGGAGCG